GUUUCCUGUGUCACAUAAAACUUAUAUUAAAUCAUUUGUGUGUUUUUCUCUUGGUAAUGUGUCUUAUGUUAUAGGACCCUCAGCCAUGAACCUAGCAAUGGAUGAGGAAAGGAAAUCUUUUCUCCCCCUAAACAUUUAUCAUGUAAAAUAAAAACAAGAGGUAACACUCAUAUGCAGAGCACAAGCUCUUUUCCAAGUACCAUCCUAAAUGAUUUAGCUAGAUUAAGUUCCAUGAUCUUUUUAACAACCCUAUAGGUAGAUACUAUUUUUAUAACAAGUAUGACUGUUGGCCAGAGGAUGGUGGAUGAAGAAAUGCAAACCCUGAUAAGGCAACAUUUUGCAUCAGGAGAGAAAAUGACACUGAGCACUGAUGAAGUAAGCUAAAGGUAAUUCCUAGACCAAAAUCAAAUGCUGUCAUAAGAGAAGAAAAAAAGAUAUUAUUUGUACCAGAGUUAAAACUAGCCACAGAACAACUUUUUGCCAGAUAGAGAACAGAUGAAAUGGACUUAUUUUUGCCUCCUACCUUUCUGGAAGUUGCUUUUGGUGUAUAAGGCUUUUUUGGCAUUAUCUCUCUUGGGCUGUCAUUGAAUACUUAGGGCUUACUGACAGAUGACUUUCAGCAUUACUGUCAGGUGGCUGAUUCAGCCAUCACUUGGGCCUCCCGUUGAUUAUAACAAGCCAAAACACUGUGCAGUUGGAAAUUUUAGGUACCAUUGUUCAAUAUAAUCUAUCUAUUUUACAGCAAAAUUAUCACAAAAAGCAUCCAGUAAAGUAACUGGUUUGACUGACAGGAGAUUCUAGUGUUAUUGUAUUUUUCCCACCAGGGCACCCAGGGGAGUUUGCUCAUCUGUAAUAUUAUUAUUAUAAUCAUAUUAUUUCUGAUGUUUUAUUGCCAGUGUCAUGGCUGACCUUUGGCAAAAUUGCAAAGUAUCCAAAGUUCAUUGGAAGAGUUCUUUUCAUGCAUACCUUCCCCCAUCUGUUUAAGAAAGGCUGCAUUGUAUUCAGCCUCAGGAAUGCUCAGAUAUUCAUUGAACCUCAUUGGAAUUAAUGAAGUGUACUUCAUAAUAUCCUUGAACACCAAAAAAUGUGUCCUCAGGCUUCAGCUGAUCUUCCCAUCGCUAAAUCCACUCAUAAAUUCCCAGUCCUUAUUUGAUCUGACAUAUAUCAGCAAACAUUUGAUACGUGUGAUCACAUCCUUUUUUAUAUAAUGUAUUUUUUGGUCCCAUUAACCUCCUGGAUAUCCCAUUUCCUGGGAUUCACUGAUAGAAUUUUUAAAAUCUCCUUUGUCUGUUCCUCCCCUUCUUUCCAGCUUUUAACAUUAGAGGGGUCCAGUGCUCAGGCACUGGUCCUCUUCUCUUUCUCUCUACGUUUACUUUUUGGAUGAUCUCAUUUGGUCUCAUUGCUUGAAAUAUCAUCAUAUGCCAAUGAGUCCCAAAUUUAUAUCUCCUGUGUGGGCCUUCCUCCUGAGCACUAGACUCAUGCACCCAGAUUGCCUACUUGAAAGCUUGUCUUGAAUAUUUACUAGGUACCUCAAACUUAAGCUGACCAAAAUUGAACUCCAUAUCUUCCCCAGAAAAUCUAUUCUUCCUGAAGUCUUUUUCCAUCUCACUUGAAAGAAAUUUGAUCAUUCCAGUUAAUUCAGGCAAAAGCCUUGGAGACAUCCUGGACUCCAUCUUUCUCUCACACAUCGAACUUCACACCUCUAACUUCAAAAUACAUCCAAAAUUCAAUCACACUUGACCACAUCCAAUUACCUCCAGUGUGUUAAAAGACAAAUCUUGGCACGUGAAAAUUUUUAAGAGUUUAUUUGAACAGACGGCAGUUCAUGAAUGGGGCCACUCAAGACUGCAAGCAAUUCGGGGCUCCAACAAAUGGGCAUAAGGGAAAAGCUUUUAAAGGGUAAAUGAGGCUGGGUGCGGUGGCUCACACCUGUAAUCCCAGCACUUUGAGAGGCCGAGGUGGGUGGAUCACGAGGUCAAGAGAUCGAGACCAUCUUGGCCAACAUGGUGAAACCCUGUCUCUACUAAAAAUACAAAAUUUAGGUGGGUGUGGUGGAACAUGCCAGUAGUCCCAGCUACUCUGGAGGCUCAGGUAGGACAGUCACUUGAACCUGGGAGGUGGAGGUUGCAGUGAGCCCAGAUAGCACCACUACACUCCAAUCUGGUGACAGAGCGAGACUCCCUCUCAAAAAAAAAAAAAAAAAAA
Molecule: long non-coding RNA, 2205 nt
Filed under: Macaca fascicularis (crab-eating macaque)
Lineage: Eukaryota; Metazoa; Chordata; Mammalia; Primates; Cercopithecidae
Description: lncRNA (ENSMFAG00000050892.1)
Source: RNAcentral